UAAACCUCACCAUAUGUUUAUCUAAUACUUCCCAUUUCCUUGAUAUCUGAGUAGGAGGUUGGUGAAGAGGAGAAGAAGAAACGCAAGAGAAUAAAGACAAGGCGACCCAGGAGCAAUGGAGAGGUGGAGACGGGUGUGAAGAGAUUAGCCAAGAAGGUGAAGGUAUCAGGAGAGGGGACAUCAGGAGCUGGAACUUCUUCUCAAGCAGAUGCCAACAGCAGACUUGCUAUGCCUGCCAUGGAGGGCAUACAGCACAGUCAAUGCACCACCUGCAAUCUUGUGUUCACUAUGCCAGAGUUGUUAAAAAUUCACCAGCACACGCACGAAGGGGCACAGAUGCAGGAGGGCGAUGAUGCCCUGGGGAAAAUGAAGCUGGAGGAGAAGGCAUGUCCUCAGUGCUUCAAGGUUUGUAAU
This 414-nucleotide long non-coding RNA is filed under the name Penaeus japonicus. Its description in RNAcentral is "uncharacterized LOC122246908". Lineage: Eukaryota; Metazoa; Arthropoda; Malacostraca; Decapoda; Penaeidae. The record is from RNAcentral.